Molecule: long non-coding RNA, 783 nt
Organism: Amborella trichopoda
Lineage: Eukaryota; Viridiplantae; Streptophyta; Magnoliopsida; Amborellales; Amborellaceae
Source: RefSeq, a predicted model, not a curated record
AAAUUUCCCAAAUAUUAUCAAGCCUGCAACUCCUAACCUUAUUGAUCACUCACUUAAGAGAGUCCGCUCCAUUAAAAUAAAAAUUCUCUUUCAAACGACUCCAAAAUUCUUCAGAAUCCAUCUCCAUAAAUAGAGGCUCAAUGAUGCACAAAAAUAGGGCAUGGGGAGUGGAGCUUGGGCACAUGGUCGGUGAGCACUGGCUACCUGUUUUUAGGAGCUCCCGCUUCUUUUGCUGUGGGGUUGUAAUGCUAGGGGCAAUUCAAACAUGUGCUUGCAUGGGCAUAGUUCGUAAAUGUUUGGAGUUGUUGGGCUUGAUAAAAAAGAUCUCUCCUUCGAUUGCCAGCCAGUAGGGAGCUCACAAGGUACAAGGGGAGUCUUGAUCCCAGAUUGUUGAUCAACAAAAUAAACUCUCAAUACCUAAUGAGAGUAGAGAUGAAGAAGUUUGUCCGACACAGAUGUCAAGGACAUCAUGGCUUAAGCAGUACCUAUAAUUUUCAGAGGAAUGCUGAUUCUAGGUGCAGUAUUCCUUGUUAUGUACUUAUGGUACAACAACACAUUUUUUUGGGUAAAAAAAGACUUCCCCAAAAAAAUGUGCUACCAUGCUUUGCUAUUUUGAUGUGUUAUGCCAUUUGAAUCAAGGUUUUACGACCAAUAUUUUUGUACGUCGAGGCAAUUCCAUAUCCUCAAAUUAAUGGAGAUAAAUUUAUCCAAACACACACACAUACACAUUCAUCUGUGGAAACAUUUUCUCAUCUUAUUAGAACUCGUUUUGGUUUUGUGCAC